Molecule: small nuclear RNA, 105 nt
Filed under: Ochotona princeps (American pika)
Lineage: Eukaryota; Metazoa; Chordata; Mammalia; Lagomorpha; Ochotonidae
Source: RNAcentral
GUGCUCACUUCAGCAGCACAUAUACUAAAAUUGGAACGAUACACAGAUUAUCAUGGCCCCUGCCGAGGAUGACCAGAUGUGAAGAAAAAAAUGUAACGUGCAUUU